This 331-nucleotide ribosomal RNA is filed under the name uncultured eukaryote. Its description in RNAcentral is "partial 18S ribosomal RNA". It matches the Rfam family "Eukaryotic small subunit ribosomal RNA", at positions 1470 to 1796 of the family's 1831-position model. The record is from RNAcentral.
CCCUUAGAUGUUCUGGGCCGCACGCGCGCUACACUGUUCGACGCAGCGAGUCUUAACCUUGACCGAAAGGUUUGGGUAAUCUUCAGCAAAGUCGAACGGGAUGGGGAUCGAUCAUUGCAAUUAUUGAUCGUGAACGAGGAAUUCCUAGUAAGUGCAAGUCAUCAGCUUGCGCUGAUUACGUCCCUGCCCUUUGUACACACCGCCCGUCGCUACUACCGAUUGAAUGGUUUAGUGAGAUCUCUGGAUUGACGCUGGCUAGGGGGCGACCCUUGGCCAGGCUGUCGAGAAACUGCUCAAACUUGAUCAUUUAGAGGAAGUAAAAGUCGUAACA